RNAcentral lists this unclassified non-coding RNA (25 nucleotides) under Mus musculus (house mouse). Its description in RNAcentral is "oocyte_clustered_small_RNA5842". The record is from RNAcentral. Lineage: Eukaryota; Metazoa; Chordata; Mammalia; Rodentia; Muridae.
UGUCAAAUAUUUCCUCAGCAUCUAA